RNAcentral lists this ribosomal RNA (429 nucleotides) under Gemmatimonadota bacterium. RNAcentral's name for it is "Gemmatimonadetes bacterium partial 16S ribosomal RNA". It matches the Rfam family "Bacterial small subunit ribosomal RNA", at positions 355 to 776 of the family's 1533-position model. The record is from RNAcentral. Lineage: Bacteria; Pseudomonadati; Gemmatimonadota.
UAGGGAAUCUUCGGCAAUGGACGAAAGUCUGACCGAGCAACGCCGCGUGAGUGAAGAAGGUUUUCGGAUCGUAAAACUCUGUUGUUAGAGAAGAACAAGGACGUUAGUAACUGAACGUCCCCUGACGGUAUCUAAUCAGAAAGCCACGGCUAACUACGUGCCAGCAGCCGCGGUAAUACGUAGGUGGCAAGCGUUGUCCGGAUUUAUUGGACGUAAAGCGAGCGCAGGCGGUUUCUUAAGUCUGAUGUGAAAGCCCCCGGCUCAACCGGGGAGGGUCAUUGGAAACUGGGAGACUUGAGUGCAGAAGAGGAGAGUGGAAUUCCAUGUGUAGCGGUGAAAUGCGUAGAUAUAUGGAGGAACACCAGUGGCGAAGGCGGCUCUCUGGUCUGUAACUGACGCUGAGGCUCGAAAGCGUGGGGAGCAAACAGG